CGCUAUAAUGCAGUCGACGCUUUGUGGUUCAACUGAUUUGAAGAGCUUGCUCAGAUAUGACGAUGGACAUUGCAAAGAGUGGCGAACGGGUGAGUAACACGUGGGAAACCUACCUCUUAGCAGGGGAUAACAUUUGGAAACAGAUGCUAAUACCGUAUAACAAUGACAACCGCAUGGUUGUUAUUUAAAAGAUGGUUCUGCUAUCACUAAGAGAUGGUCCCGCGGUGCAUUAGCUAGUUGGUAAGGUAAUGGCUUACCAAGGCGAUGAUGCAUAGCCGAGUUGAGAGACUGAUCGGCCACAAUGGGACUGAGACACGGCCCAUACUCCUACGGGAGGCAGCAGUAGGGAAUCUUCCACAAUGGGCGAAAGCCUGAUGGAGCAACGCCGCGUGUGUGAUGAAGGGUUUCGGCUCGUAAAACACUGUUGUAAGAGAAGAAUGACAUUGAGAGUAACUGUUCAAUGUGUGACGGUAUCUUACCAGAAAGGAACGGCUAAAUACGUGCCAGCAGCCGCGGUAAUACGUAUGUUCCAAGCGUUAUCCGGAUUUAUUGGGCGUAAAGCGAGCGCAGACGGUUAUUUAAGUCUGAAGUGAAAGCCCUCAGCUCAACUGAGGAAUUGCUUUGGAAACUGGAUGACUUGAGUGCAGUAGAGGAAAGUGGAACUCCAUGUGUAGCGGUGAAAUGCGUAGAUAUAUGGAAGAACACCAGUGGCGAAGGCGGCUUUCUGGACUGUAACUGACGUUGAGGCUCGAAAGUGUGGGUAGCAAACAGGAUUAGAUACCCUGGUAGUCCACACCGUAAACGAUGAGUGCUAGGUGUUUGAGGGUUUCCGCCCUUAAGUGCCGCAGCUAACGCAUUAAGCACUCCGCCUGGGGAGUACGACCGCAAGGUUGAAACUCAAAGGAAUUGACGGGGACCCGCACAAGCGGUGGAGCAUGUGGUUUAAUUCGAAGCAACGCGAAGAACCUUACCAGGUCUUGACAUCCCUUGACAACUCCAGAGAUGGAGCGUUCCCUUCGGGGACAAGGUGACAGGUGGUGCAUGGUUGUCGUCAGCUCGUGUCGUGAGAUGUUGGGUUAAGUCCCGCAACGAGCGCAACCCUUAUUACUAGUUGCCAGCAUUCAGUUGGGCACUCUAGUGAGACUGCCGGUGACAAACCGGAGGAAGGUGGGGAUGACGUCAAAUCAUCAUGCCCCUUAUGACCUGGGCUACACACGUGCUACAAUGGCGUAUACAACGAGUUGCCAACCCGCGAGGGUGAGCUAAUCUCUUAAAGUACGUCUCAGUUCGGAUUGUAGGCUGCAACUCGCCUACAUGAAGUCGGAAUCGCUAGUAAUCGCGGAUCAGCACGCCGCGGUGAAUACGUUCCCGGGUCUUGUACACACCGCCCGUCACACCAUGAGAGUUUGUAACACCCAAAGCCGGUGGGGUAACCUUCGGGAGCCAGCCGUCUAAGUGACAUAU
This 1464-nucleotide ribosomal RNA is filed under the name Weissella confusa. RNAcentral's name for it is "bacterial SSU rRNA". It matches the Rfam family "Bacterial small subunit ribosomal RNA". The record is from RNAcentral. Lineage: Bacteria; Bacillati; Bacillota; Bacilli; Lactobacillales; Lactobacillaceae.